GAUGAACGCUGGCGGCGUGCCUAAUACAUGCAAGUCGAGCGAACAGACGAGGAGCUUGCUCCUCUGACGUUAGCGGCGGACGGGUGAGUAACACGUGGAUAACCUACCUAUAAGACUGGGAUAACUUCGGGAAACCGGAGCUAAUACCGGAUAAUAUAUUGAACCGCAUGGUUCAAUAGUGAAAGACGGUUUUGCUGUCACUUAUAGAUGGAUCCGCGCCGCAUUAGCUAGUUGGUAAGGUAACGGCUUACCAAGGCAACGAUGCGUAGCCGACCUGAGAGGGUGAUAGGCCACACUGGAACUGAGCCACGCUCCAGACUACUAAGGGAGGCAGCAGUAGGGAAGCUUCCGCAAUGGGCGAAAGCCUGACGGAGCAACGCCGCGUGAGUGAUGAAGGUCUUCGGAUCGUAAAACUCUGUUAUUAGGGAAGAACAAAUGUGUAAGUAACUAUGCACGUCUUGACGGUACCUAAUCAGAAAGCCACGGCUAACUACGUG
Molecule: ribosomal RNA, 497 nt
Filed under: uncultured bacterium
Lineage: Bacteria
Description: partial 16S ribosomal RNA
Rfam family: Bacterial small subunit ribosomal RNA
Source: RNAcentral